Molecule: ribosomal RNA, 429 nt
Filed under: Chloroflexota bacterium
Lineage: Bacteria; Bacillati; Chloroflexota
Description: Chloroflexi bacterium partial 16S ribosomal RNA
Rfam family: Bacterial small subunit ribosomal RNA
Source: RNAcentral
UGGGGAAUAUUGCACAAUGGGCGCAAGCCUGAUGCAGCCAUGCCGCGUGUAUGAAGAAGGCCUUCGGGUUGUAAAGUACUUUCAGUCGGGAGGAAGGUGGUAAGGUUAAUAACCUUGGCAAUUGACGUUACCGACAGAAGAAGCACCGGCUAACUCCGUGCCAGCAGCCGCGGUAAUACGGAGGGUGCAAGCGUUAAUCGGAAUUACUGGGCGUAAAGCGCACGCAGGCGGUUUGUUAAGUCAGAUGUGAAAUCCUCGGGCUCAACCUGGGAACUGCAUCUGAUACUGGCAAGCUUGAGUCUCGUAGAGGGGGGUAGAAUUCCAGGUGUAGCGGUGAAAUGCGUAGAGAUCUGGAGGAAUACCGGUGGCGAAGGCGGCCCCCUGGACAAAGACUGACGCUCAGGUGCGAAAGCGUGGGGAGCAAACAGG